Molecule: transfer-messenger RNA, 344 nt
Filed under: human gut metagenome
Rfam family: transfer-messenger RNA
About the family: Bacterial tmRNA, also known as 10Sa RNA or SsrA, is named for its dual tRNA and mRNA-like properties. Its role is to liberate the mRNA from a stalled ribosome.
Source: RNAcentral
GGGGUUGUACUGGUUUCGACGGGGGCUAUGAAGCUGGUGAAGCUAUCCGCAUGCAAUGCGUCAAAUGGCAAACCUAAAUAUAAACGCUAACGACAACGAAUUAGCAUACGCAGCCUAAUUUAGGCAGCUGUCGGCCCCGGGGCACUCACAUCCCGGGAUCCCGGCAUCAUCUUUGUGAGAAACGACACGUGCAAAGCUUUGAGCACGCGGGCGUAUGAUGAAGCUACUGAACGCAUCCGGGUGUCUGUUCCCGGCUGCGGGAGGGAAUAAAUAAGAACAGACUAUGAUAGUAGAAGAACAGGGGAUUGGUUUUCGGACAGGGGUUCGAUUCCCCUCAGCUCCAC